AUUGUUUCGUGGUGUGUGGGAGAGACCAGUCGUAUAUCCUGGUCAAAUGUAUUGCUUUGUGGUAUUUUUCCAUAUCAGGUAGGCCCAGGCCUCCGACCUAUUUCGGUUUGGUAAGGAGCCCAUAUGAUAGCCGUGGAGUUUUGUGUGCCCAGAUGAAGGUCGUGAGUGUCCGUCGGAUUGUGUUGAACCAUGUUUUAGGUAUCGAUAUGGGGAGAACCUGUAGCAAGUAUAAUAUCCUGGGGAGAACAUUCAUUUUGAGAAUGCUCAGCCUACAGAACCAUCCGAAUUGUGGUUUAUUCCAUGUAGUGAGGUCUGAGUGUAUG
Pelobates cultripes (western spadefoot toad) is the source of this 323-nucleotide non-coding RNA. NCBI's taxonomy places the organism in Eukaryota, Metazoa, Chordata, Amphibia, Anura, Pelobatidae. The record is from the annotation of a GenBank genome assembly.